RNAcentral lists this ribosomal RNA (491 nucleotides) under uncultured bacterium. Its description in RNAcentral is "partial 16S ribosomal RNA". It matches the Rfam family "Bacterial small subunit ribosomal RNA", at positions 29 to 507 of the family's 1533-position model. The record is from RNAcentral.
GUGCACGCUGGCGGUAGGCCUAACACAUGCACGUCGAACGGCAGCACCGUAAGAGCUUGCUCUUACGGGUGGCGAGUGGCGGACGGGUGAGGAAUACAUCGGAAUCUACUUUUUCGUGGGGGAUAACGUAGGGAAACUUACGCUAAUACCGCAUACGACCUACGGGUGAAAGCAGGGGAUCUUCGGACCUUGCGCGAUUGAAUGAGCCGAUGUCGGAUUAGCUAGUUGGCGGGGUAAAGGCCCACCAAGGCGACGAUCCGUAGCUGGUCUGAGAGGAUGAUCAGCCACACUGGAACUGAGACACGGUCCAGACUCCUACGGGAGGCAGCAGUGGGGAAUAUUGGACAAUGGGCGCAAGCCUGAUCCAGCCAUACCGCGUGGGUGAAGAAGGCCUUCGGGUUGUAAAGCCCUUUUGUUGGGAAAGAAAAGCAGCAGGUUAAUACCCCGCUGUUCUGACGGUACCCAAAGAAUAAGCACCGGCUAACUUCGUG